RNAcentral lists this ribosomal RNA (508 nucleotides) under uncultured bacterium. RNAcentral describes it as "partial 16S ribosomal RNA". It matches the Rfam family "Bacterial small subunit ribosomal RNA", at positions 28 to 507 of the family's 1533-position model. The record is from RNAcentral.
GACGAACGCUGGCGGCGUGCCUAAUACAUGCAAGUCGAACGCUUCUUUCCUCCCGAGUGCUUGCACUCAAUUGGAAAGAGGAGUGGCGGACGGGUGAGUAACACGUGGGUAACCUACCCAUCAGAGGGGGAUAACACUUGGAAACAGGUGCUAAUACCGCUUAACAGUUUAUGCCGCAUGGCAUAAGAGUGAAAGGCGCUUUCGGGCGUUGCUGAUGGAUGGAGCCGCGGUGCAUUAGCUAGUUGGUGAGGUAACGGCUCACCAAGGCCACGAUGCAUAGCCGACCUGAGAGGGUGAUCGGCCACACUGGGACUGAGACACGGCCCAGACUCCUACGGGAGGCAGCAGUAGGGAAUCUUCGGCAAUGGACGAAAGUCUGACCGAGCAACGCCGCGUGAGUGAAGAAGGUUUUCGGAUCGUAAAACUCUGUUGUUAGGGAAGAACGAGGACGUGAGUAACUGAACGUCCCCUGACGGUAUCUAACCAGAAAGCCACGGCUAACUACGUG